RNAcentral lists this non-coding RNA (29 nucleotides) under Mus musculus (house mouse). The record is from RNAcentral. Lineage: Eukaryota; Metazoa; Chordata; Mammalia; Rodentia; Muridae.
UAGAAAUCCACUAUCUUCUAGUUCCAGAG